AUACAUAUAAAUCUUUAAGCAAAAUAUCUGAUUAAGAAGAGAGAGAUAUGAAGAACAAGUGGAGUGCUAUGAUGGUUUUGGUUUUGGUGGUGAUGGCUGCCAUUGGAGGAGAAGCAAGGACGAUUCCAUGUGAAGAGACGUGUAUAGAACGCUGUGGCUAUCAUGGUGUCCAAAUAACACCGACCUGCUUGAAAAAAUGUUUUGAUAAGCUAUGCAUGCAUCUUCCACCAACAAGUAGUAUCUUUCAAUCUGUUUCGCAUUCAGAGUAACUCUCUCUCUCUCUCUAUCUUUCUCUAUAUACAUACUUGUGUGUAUAGUGAGUUGACAUGGUUUAUGUUGUGUUUAUGUAGGAUGAAGACUAAAGGGAUAGAAGAAAUGCAUGCAUAGAGAUCGUUUUGUUCAUGCUUGAUCUGUUUUUAUUUCUUCUAUUAAUAUAUGUAAAAUAAAAUAUAUAAUAAGAUAAAUAUAUACAAAAAUUUCAUAUUCAUGCAAAAUUAUUGGUGGACGUGUAGCAGAUAUCCUAAAACUUUUUGUGAGAUUUGUGAUCCACUCUAUUU
RNAcentral lists this long non-coding RNA (557 nucleotides) under Capsella rubella. Its description in RNAcentral is "long non-coding RNA (CRUB_LNC002698)". Lineage: Eukaryota; Viridiplantae; Streptophyta; Magnoliopsida; Brassicales; Brassicaceae. The record is from RNAcentral.